CUGGAAUCACGAGUGUGUCACUUGUGAUAACGUAAAGGAAAAUAAUGAUAUCACUUUACUAUUAGUGUUGUCCAAAACUGGUGCCAGAAGACUCGGUAAUGCCAGAGACGCGAGCGUUAGUCAUCUUGAUCAGGCGUAAAGGGUUUGUAGGCUGCUUUAAAAAUGAAAAUAAUUAAAGCUAGAAUCAAAUAGAGGUCACCGUCAGAUAAUGCUUAGAGUAGGGUUGAUAUCUGUAAAUACUAAGUGGAAUUCUAACUAGCGAAGGCCUUUUCCAAUUAAUGAUUGACGCUGAGAAACGAAGGGGAGGAUAGACAAUAGGAUGUGCGACCAGAAAAGUUUAUUUAAAUAUUGCCAAGUUACUUGGUCUUAUUUUCCAUCUAAUAUGAGUUCACUUUGAUAGAUAAAAUUGGUAACGGUUUUAUUUAAAGCUCAAGGUAUUUUARAGAGAUAUUUUUUCUUUAAUAAGAACUGUUUUCUAAGGGUUAGAGAAAUCGAAUCUAUGUUAUUAAAACUUCUAUAAGUUAGUUACUUUMGCCGAGUCCUAGACUAGAGUUAGAUGGACCCAGAUUUUUAGAAUUAAGUAGGACCUCAGGGAAAACUUCUUAAAUAAAWUUAACGGAGUGGAACAUGGGAGAAUAUUCAGGAGUUAUAAUCGAUUUUAUGUAACCYUAAAAAAAAUCUAUCUAUUCYUCGCAUAAGGGAGUAGGUUUUGGGGAAAAAAUAAAGGGUUUUUAGAAAACUGGAUCUUCGGGUUUUAUAAAAUGGAGAAGGUUCUUUCGUUAUUCAUAAAAAGGUCACUUGGUUUUUUAUAUUGAACAAGCUGAGAGUGAAGUAUUAAAUUUAAUUAAACAAAGAUUAAACUUAUCCCCUAGUAUACUCUUUAGAGCUAAAAGAAAGUUCAAUUUUAAGGACACUUAUUCUUUAACGAUAUCUGCUAAAAAAGAUAUAAGAGCUUUAAUUAAUUUCUUUGAAAAUCCUUUAUUAGCUCCAUUAGAUGGUCAAAAAAAUAUACAAUUUGAAAAUUGGAAAAACCUUUAUAACAAAAAAAAUACUUAAAAAAAUCUAUUUACCUGUCAAAGACAAAACUACAAAUUAUUUUUACUUUAUAAUGGCUUGAGCCGUAUGCGGUGAAAGCCGCACGUACGGUUCUUUGAGGAGGAAAAGCUCGUGAGAGCCUACCUUGCUCAAUUAGAUACCCUGGCAUCCCUCUCUGUCAACGAUGAAUGGUAGUUGCUAGUUCUAGAAGCUAGUGGCGAUGUUAACACGUUAACCAUUCCGCCUUGUGAGUACAAUUGCAAAGUUGAAAACAAAAAAAUUACUCG
This 1322-nucleotide ribosomal RNA is filed under the name Lentaria byssiseda. Lineage: Eukaryota; Fungi; Basidiomycota; Agaricomycetes; Gomphales; Lentariaceae. The record is from RNAcentral.